AUGACAUGGCCGACGCGGCUUAAAGUGUAGUAUCCGUUCUAAUCAGCUUAAUGUCUGAUACUGGUUGUACAUAUUUGAACCCAAGAUAUCAGGCCUAUUUUUGCAAGUUGGCGGAGUGCUUGAAGCCUGCUUCACGUCCACCGCGGGUGGGCCCGUAUUGGACAAUCUUCGGGAUUGGCCCACGGUUU
This is a small nuclear RNA of Dermacentor silvarum, 188 nucleotides long. RefSeq annotates it as U2 spliceosomal RNA. Lineage: Eukaryota; Metazoa; Arthropoda; Arachnida; Ixodida; Ixodidae. The transcript has a single exon. The record is from RefSeq and is a predicted model, not a curated record.